RNAcentral lists this ribosomal RNA (755 nucleotides) under uncultured bacterium. RNAcentral's name for it is "bacterial SSU rRNA". It matches the Rfam family "Bacterial small subunit ribosomal RNA", at positions 31 to 794 of the family's 1533-position model. The record is from RNAcentral.
GAACGCUGGCGGUGCGCCUUAUGCAUGCAAGUUGAGCGAAGCUUUUUGGUAGUUUACUACUAGAAAUGACUGAGCGGCGAACGGGUGAGUAACGCGUGAGCAAUCUACCUUAGUUACUGGGAUAGCCCGAGGAAACUCGGAUUAAUACCGGAUAUUCUUAUUUUUUCACAUGAAGUUUUAAGGAAAGGUCAGCCGAACUAAGAUGAGCUCGCGUUCUAUCAGCUAGUUGGUGGGGUAAAAGCCUACCAAGGCUACGACGGAUAGCUGGUCUGAGAGGACGAUCAGCCACACUGGGACUGAGACACGGCCCAGACUCCUACGGGAGGCUGCAGCAGGGAAUAUUGUGCAAUGAGCGAAAGCUUGACACAGCGACACCGCGUGUGGGAUGACGGUUCUAGGAUUGUAAACCACUUUCAGGAGGGAAGAAAAUGACGGUACCUCCACAAGAAGACCCGGCCAACUAUGUGCCAGCAGCCGCGGUAAUACAUAGGGGUCAAGCGUUGUCCGGAUUUAUUGGGCGUAAAGAGCUCGUAGGCGGUUCAACAAGUCGGUCGUAAAAGUUUAGGGCUCAACCCUAAAAUGUCGAUCGAUACUGUUGUGACUAGGAUACGGUAGAGGUGAAUGGAAUUCCGAGUGUAGCGGUGAAAUGCGUAGAUAUUCGGAGGAACACCAAUUGCGAAGGCAGUUCACUGGACCGUGAUCGACGCUGAGGAGCGAAAGCUAGGGGAGCAAACAGGAUUAGAUACCCUGGUAGU